CCUGCCGGCGACCGGCGCACGGGUGAGUAACACGUAUGCGACCUGCCCCCCGCAGGGGGAUAACCGGGAGAAAUCCCGACUAAUACCGCGUAACGCCGCGGACCUGCAUGGGUCUGCGGCCAAAGGAAGCGAUUCCGGCGGGGGAUGGGCAUGCGGCGCAUUAGCUAGUCGGCGGGGUAACGGCCCACCGAGGCGACGAUGCGUAGGGGUUCUGAGAGGAAGGCCCCCCCACACUGGAACUGAGACACGGUCCAGACUCCUACGGAAGGCAGCAG
This 275-nucleotide ribosomal RNA is filed under the name uncultured bacterium. RNAcentral describes it as "partial 16S ribosomal RNA". It matches the Rfam family "Bacterial small subunit ribosomal RNA", at positions 84 to 354 of the family's 1533-position model. The record is from RNAcentral.